This is a long non-coding RNA of Esox lucius (northern pike), 371 nucleotides long. The record is from Ensembl. Lineage: Eukaryota; Metazoa; Chordata; Actinopteri; Esociformes; Esocidae.
GUCUACUGAUCAUUAGGACUGUUAUAGUCAUGUUGAUAUUCUGUGUUUCUGUCCUUCAGUGGUAUAGACUGUCUACUGAUCAUUAGGUCUGUUAUAGUCAUGUUGAUAUUCUGUGUGUCUGUCCUUCAGUGAUAUAGACUGUCUACUGAUCAUUAGGUCUGUUAUAGUCAUGUUGACAUUCUGUGUGUCUGUCCUUCAGUGGUAUAGACUGUCUACUGAUCAUUAGGUCUGUUAUAGUCAUGUUGAUAUUCUGUGUGUCUGUCCUUCAGUGGUAUAGACCGUCUACUGAUCAUAAGGUCUGUUAUAGUCAUGUUGAUAUUAUGUGUGUCUGUCCUUCAGUGGUAUAGACUGUCUACUGAUCAUUAGGUCUG